UGGCGGGCGGGUGAGUAACGCGUGGGUAACCUGCCUCAUACAGGGGGAUAACAGUUAGAAAUGACUGCUAAUACCGCAUAAGACCACAGCACCGCAUGGUGCAGGGGUAAAAACUCCGGUGGUAUGAGAUGGACCCGCGUCUGAUUAGGUAGUUGGUGGGGUAACGGCCUACCAAGCCGACGAUCAGUAGCCGACCUGAGAGGGUGACCGGCCACAUUGGGACUGAGACACGGCCCAA
Molecule: ribosomal RNA, 238 nt
Filed under: uncultured bacterium
Lineage: Bacteria
Description: partial 16S ribosomal RNA
Rfam family: Bacterial small subunit ribosomal RNA
Source: RNAcentral